AGUAAAAUUCACUCAACAACACAGCGGGAAAGAUAUUGGAUAAACUACACUGUAAGGAAGCUAAACACCUGCAUUUACAACAACGAAACAGGAGGUAAAACCAGGGACUGCAAAAAUGAAACUAAACAUGAGCAGGAAGCAUCAAAACAUAAAAGAGCAGGACACAAAGCCGCGGAAUCGCGCACCUACAGGGUGCAUAUACAUAAUCCCCCAACUUCGGACUGGGGGAAACAAGGCAAACAACCACUACAUCAGGGGUGUGGAGAGACAAUAAAAUCACGCAUCUCCAUCUCCAGCGGGGAGACAACAAAAUCGCACAUGUACAACUACAUCAGGGGUGCGGGGAGACAACAACUUCACGCAUCUAUAACUACAUCAGGGGCGUGGGGAGACAACAAAAUCAUGCAUCUCCAUCUCCAACGGGAAGACACCAAAUCAGGCAUCUACAACUACAGCAGGGCGCGGCGGGAGGGCGACAUGAACUCACCUAGAUCUGGAACCAGACGCAACCAAAAGCACAAGGGAGAGAGCGAAAGAGAGGAACAACGAACCGCGACACCGGGGAUUGAAGAGUAA
This 576-nucleotide ribosomal RNA is filed under the name Triticum aestivum (bread wheat). RNAcentral describes it as "partial small subunit ribosomal RNA". The record is from RNAcentral. Lineage: Eukaryota; Viridiplantae; Streptophyta; Magnoliopsida; Poales; Poaceae.